Molecule: ribosomal RNA, 486 nt
Filed under: uncultured bacterium
Lineage: Bacteria
Description: partial 16S ribosomal RNA
Rfam family: Bacterial small subunit ribosomal RNA
Source: RNAcentral
AUUGAACGCUGGCGGCAUGCCUUACACAUGCAAGUCGAACGGCAGCACGGGUGCUUGCCCCUGGUGGCGAGUGGCGAACGGGUGAGUAAUACAUCGGAACAUGUCCUGUAGUGGGGGAUAGCCCGGCGAAAGCCAGAUUAAUACCGCAUACGAUCUACGGAUGAAAGCGGGGGACCUUCGGGCCUCGCGCUAUAGGGUUGGCCGAUGGCUGAUUAGCUAGUUGGUGGGGUAAAGGCCUACCAAGGCGACGAUCAGUAGCUGGUCUGAGAGGACGACCAGCCACACUGGGACUGAGACACGGCCCAGACUCCUACGGGAGGCAGCAGUGGGGAAUUUUGGACAAUGGGCGAAAGCCUGAUCCAGCAAUGCCGCGUGUGUGAAGAAGGCCUUCGGGUUGUAAAGCACUUUUGUCCGGAAAGAAAUCCUUGGCCCUAAUACGGUCGGGGGAUGACGGUACCGGAAGAAUAAGCACCGGCUAACUACGUG